GUUUUGCGUUAAGGAUUACAGUGACAUCCUUUUGGUUAUGGUGCUGGGGUGGGUUCUCGAAGCAUAAAACCAAAAGAUAUAACGAAAAGCCUGACCUGAA
Molecule: small RNA, 100 nt
Filed under: Wenyingzhuangia marina
Lineage: Bacteria; Pseudomonadati; Bacteroidota; Flavobacteriia; Flavobacteriales; Flavobacteriaceae
Description: Flavo-1 RNA
Rfam family: Flavo-1 RNA
Source: RNAcentral